UGGCCCAGGGAGAAAAGCGCUGUUCCGCGUGGGAACGUGUGGAACGUUUACAGCUACUGUAAGAGGGGAGCUGAAGGGUGACCAUCAAGGGCAGCGUGUGCCCCACCUCGGGAAGCUGGGCAGAGAGGAGCCCCGGGGCCCACAGGGGCAUCCUUUACCCAAAGUCCGGGCUCACCCAGGAACAGGACCAGAGACAUUCCCGUACAUCCCAGAACUUUCCGGGGCCUCAUCGGUCUUAUCUCCAAGCUCUGCCAGCCUGCCAUGCUCAUGCACCCAGAGGGAGAUCUGCACCAACCCCUCAGAACAAUAGCUUGCUGAGUGACCCUGAAUCAUCUGGAGCAGGUCACAUUGUGCCAGCCUGUGUAAGACUGGGUGAGUAAUGGCAUUGUGAAAGUUUUCCCUGAAAAAGAAGUGAAAUCAUACUAAAAAUAAUAAUCAUGAAAAGUCAAGCCACUUAGUCAAAAAGAAAGAACUAGAAUGCACCUCAGAGAACUUGAGUCUACCUCCUCACCUGGCAAGUAGAGAAACUGAGGCCUGGAGAGUAGGAAGGUUGUUUGAAGAGCAGAACCGGUAGUUAAUCAUGGAAAAGCAACGCUUAACUGGGUGUUUCUUGGUGAACUAGAACAGAUUGUCUGUGAUUGGGCCAAACUCAAGACGUGAUUCUUGGGGAAGCAAAACCGGGCCUCAGGGCACCGCGGGCCUGCCGGACAUGAGUGCCUGAGAUGAGAGGGUCCUUGGGAGUGUAAAGGGGCACCAUUUGCUUGAGCUCAAGAGGACAGCCACCCAUGUAUGAGUGGGCUGGAGGGGACAUGAGUGAAGGAAGGGGCUUCUGUGUUUGGAAAGCCAGAGGCUCCUAGACUCCUACAAACACCUGCAAAAGAGGGUGCCGCCGUGGGGAGGGAGGUGAGAUGACCAUCGGAAGUGCUUCCUGGGUCCCCUGGGCCUGGCUGGCCCUCAGGACACAGGUGAGCUCUUGGUCUGUCUCCAUCUGGGUGCAGCCACCCAUGUGCACAGGUCACUGAGGUCCUGGCCAGCUCCGGGAGGCUUCCCCCAGGACCAGGACCCAUCCUGGGGAGCAUAGGGGGUCCAGGGAUGGCUCCAAACUAAAGCUGCUUGGGACAAAGUGGGGAUGAGGUCUGGGUACCAAUAGCUCUCCAGCACCUCCAGGUGACGCCUGAGCUCCUCGCCUCUGAACUUGUUCUGCCUUCGCCUUGCCUCCCACCCCCCGCUGUAACGUAACACGCAGUGGUCCCACCGCUGGAUAAACAGAACGGCACCUCCUCCCAAAGGUGAACGUGGGAUCACCACACAACCCAGCGCUUCCACCCUGCAUAUAUACCCGGAAGGGCUGAGCGAGGACUUGAAGAAAUACUUGAUUUUAGCGCUGUUAACUCUCAGUUACUCACACAAGCCUACAAGAGAAAGCAACCAGAUUUCCAUCAGCGGACCAGUGGACCAACAGAAGAUGGUCUAUCACAUAGAAUAGAAUGUUAUUCAGCCUGAAAAGGGAAGGAAACUCGGACACGUGUCACAACAAGAUGAACCUUGAGGACACAGCUUGGUGGAACGAGCCAAUCACAGAAAGACAAAGGUUGUCUGAUUGCACUUGUAUGAGGUCCCUAGAGCUGUCAGUACAGAGAGAAAGUGGAUGGGGGGUGCUCAGGGCUGAGGGGGAGGGGAAUGGAGGGUUAGAGUUUAAUGGGUGCAGAGGUUCAUUUUGGGGAAGAUGGAGAAGUUCUGGAGAUGGAUAGUGGUGAGGAGAGCACAACGGUGUGAACGUGCUUAAUGCCACUGACCUGUGCGCCUAAAAAUGGUGAAAAUGGUCUAUUUUAUGUGUGUCGUACCACAGGAAAAGUGAAUACAUUAAACAACUCGGUAGUGGUGAA
Molecule: long non-coding RNA, 1886 nt
Organism: Neofelis nebulosa (Clouded leopard)
Lineage: Eukaryota; Metazoa; Chordata; Mammalia; Carnivora; Felidae
Exons: 2
Source: RefSeq, a predicted model, not a curated record